AGUGAACGCUGGCGGUAGGCCUAACACAUGCAAGUCGAACGGCAGCACAGUAAGAGCUUGCUCUUACAGGUGGCGAGUGGUGGACGGGCGAGGAAAACAUCGGACUCUACUUUUUCGUGGGGGAUCACGUAGGGAAACUUACGCUAAUACCGCAUACGACCUACGGGUGAAAGCAGGGGAUCUUCGGCCCUUGCGCGAUUGAAUGAGCCGAUGUCGGAUUAGCUAGUUGGCGGGGUAAAGGCCCACCAAGGCGACGAUCCGUAGCUGGUCUGAGAGGAUGAUCAGCCACACUGGAACUGAGACACGGUCCAGACUCCUACGGGAUGCAUCAGUGGAGAAUUUUGGACAAUGGGCGCAAGCCUGAGCCAGCCAUACCGCGUGGGUGAAGAAGGCCUUCGGGUUGUAAAGCCCUUUUGUUGGGAAAGAAAAGCAGCAGGUUAAUACCCCGCUGUUCUGACGGUACCUAAAGAAUAAGCACCGGCUAACUUCGUG
Molecule: ribosomal RNA, 492 nt
Filed under: uncultured bacterium
Lineage: Bacteria
Description: partial 16S ribosomal RNA
Rfam family: Bacterial small subunit ribosomal RNA
Source: RNAcentral